GUUUGCAAUGACGUCAUAUUUGCGUGUGUCCCGGCCUUAUUCUAAGAUAUAGAUAAUCUAUUUCGGUUUAUACCUGACUGAUUUCAAACUUAUUUUUGCAAAACCUGUUUCCCCUAAAGUCUUUCUUUAUGUCUUUUAUAGAUAAAUAGUAAAACUCUAAGCUAUUGUAGAGUUGCAGACGGCUAAAGUCUUUUUAUUUCACCUGUUUCUCAGGCUGUAGUGUGGAGUGGGGGUAGUGCGGUUGGAUUGUAGCGAGACCUAUUGCAUCGGCUGGGCAUCACACGGCCAUCUGUCGUUGAUGGGGGGACAUUAGAAGGUGUUAGCGACCUGAUUUCUAUGGAAGAAUUGACGUUAGAGCAAUUUGAAUUAUUCGGGAGAGAGACAGCCGAUAACGGGAGUAGAGACGCAUACGGCGAGUAUC
This 421-nucleotide long non-coding RNA is filed under the name Sinocyclocheilus anshuiensis. RNAcentral describes it as "lncRNA (ENSSANG00000022271.1)". The record is from RNAcentral. Lineage: Eukaryota; Metazoa; Chordata; Actinopteri; Cypriniformes; Cyprinidae.